CCAAGGCAAUGCCAGACUGAGUGCGCCCAGUCUCAUCAGCCCUUGAAAGCUAAGCAGGGCCAGGCCUGACUAGUACUUGGAUGGGAGAAAUAUUCAUAAAAGACACCUUUUAAAAAAUAUUGAUGUUACUUAGU
Molecule: ribosomal RNA, 134 nt
Filed under: Jaculus jaculus (lesser Egyptian jerboa)
Lineage: Eukaryota; Metazoa; Chordata; Mammalia; Rodentia; Dipodidae
Source: RNAcentral